GACGAACGCUGGCGGCGUGCUUAACACAUGCAAGUCGAACGAAGAGCGACGGAAGCUUGCUUCUAUCAAUCUUAGUGGCGAACGGGUGAGUAACGCGUAAUCAACCUGCCCUUCAGAGGGGGACAACAGUUGGAAACGACUGCUAAUACCGCAUACGAUCUAAUCUCGGCAUCGAGGAUGGAUGAAAGGUGGCCUCUACAUGUAAGCUAUCACUGAAGGAGGGGAUUGCGUCUGAUUAGCUAGGUGGAGGGGUAACGGCCCACCAAGGCGAUGAUCAGUAGCCGGUCUGAGAGGAUGAACGGCCACAUUGGGACUGAGACACGGCCCAGACUCCUACGGGAGGCAGCAGUGGGGAAUCUUCCGCAAUGGACGAAAGUCUGACGGAGCAACGCCGCGUGAGUGAUGACGGCCUUCGGGUUGUAAAGCUCUGUUAAUCGGGACGAAAGGCCUUCUUGCGAAUAGUGAGAAGGAUUGACGGUACCGGAAUAGAAAGCCACGGCUAACUACGUG
RNAcentral lists this ribosomal RNA (510 nucleotides) under uncultured bacterium. RNAcentral's name for it is "partial 16S ribosomal RNA". It matches the Rfam family "Bacterial small subunit ribosomal RNA", at positions 28 to 507 of the family's 1533-position model. The record is from RNAcentral.